GAAUCAAUUUCAGCAAAGCUGCUGUUCUCCCUAGAACUUGUGGUGUCAAUAUUCCUUACAAGAUCAGCCCUUCCACUGACUGCUCCAAGGUCCGCUAAGGAGGUUGAUCAAUAGUCAAUUUGGUCGAAGAAUAAGAUGUGGCCGUCUUUGAUACUGCUUAUAUAUAGAUCCAUUUUUAUUUUGUAUCCCUAGUUUAUAUAUAUAUAGAGAGAGAGAAGGGCACUUAUGCAUGCUAAAAUUUUGAUUACACUUGUGAUUAAUAUUAAUCCAGUUGGGGUGUGAAUUGUAUUGGCAAUAAGUAUAUUUACGAAUAAAAAAUUCUGCUAUUAAUUCAAUGAA
Molecule: RNA transcript, 339 nt
Organism: Capsicum annuum
Lineage: Eukaryota; Viridiplantae; Streptophyta; Magnoliopsida; Solanales; Solanaceae
Exons: 2
Source: RefSeq, a predicted model, not a curated record